Molecule: ribosomal RNA, 2181 nt
Filed under: Parabacteroides distasonis str. 3999B T(B) 4
Lineage: Bacteria; Pseudomonadati; Bacteroidota; Bacteroidia; Bacteroidales; Tannerellaceae
Description: bacterial LSU rRNA
Rfam family: Bacterial large subunit ribosomal RNA
Source: RNAcentral
GAUAGAGUCAAGUGGAACGCCUUGGAAAAGGCGGUCAUAGAGGGUGAAAACCCCGUACACGACUGACGAUUGAAGCCUAGUGGCAUCCUGAGUAGCGCGGGGCACGAGAAAUCUUGCGUGAAUUAGCGGGGCCCAUCCCGUAAGGCUAAAUACUCCCGAGAGACCGAUAGCGAACCAGUACCGUGAGGGAAAGGUGAAAAGAACCCCGAGCAGGGGAGUGAAAUAGACCCUGAACCCGUCUGCCUACAAGCGGUCGGAGCGUCGUAAUGACGUGACGGCGUGCCUUUUGCAUAAUGAACCUACGAGUUACCUUCCCCGGCAAGGUUAAGUACCUAAGGUACGGAGCCGAAGCGAAAGCGAGUCUGAAGAGGGCGCCAAGUCGGGGGGGUAGACGCGAAACCGAGUGAUCUACCCUUGGCCAGGUUGAAGGUUGGGUAACACCAACUGGAGGACCGGAUGGGUAAGCGUUGAAAAGCUUUCCAAUGAGCUGAGGGUAGGGGUGAAAGGCUAAUCAAACUCGGAGAUAGCUCGUACUCCCCGAAAUGCAUUUAGGUGCAGCCUCUUUAUAGUAUAUCGUGAGGUAGAGCGACUGAUUGGAUGCGAGGGCUUCACCGCCUAUCAAGUCCAGAUAAACUCCGAAUGCGCGAUAUAUAUUUACAGGGAGUGAGGGCGCGGGUGCUAAGGUCCGUGUCCGAGAGGAGAAGAAUCCAGACCACCGGCUAAGGCCCCCAAAUGAUCGUUAAGUUGAACUAACGAGGUCGGAUCGCAGAGACAGCUAGGAUGUUGGCUUGGAAGCAGCCAUUCAUUUAAAGAGUGCGUAACAGCUCACUAGUCGAGCGAUCUGGCGUGGAUAAUAAUCGGGCAUAAACGAUCUGCCGAAGCCGUGGAUGUCGCAAGACAUGGUAGGGGAGCAUUCCAUGCGGCGUCGAAGAUGAGGGAUGACCCUUGUUGGAGCGCAUGGAAAAGCAAAUGUAGGUAUGAGUAACGAUAAGGGGGGCGAGAAACCCCCCCGCCGAAAGACCAAGGUUUCCUGAUCAACGCUAAUCGGAUCAGGGUGAGUCGGGACCUAAGGCAAAGCCGAACGGCGCCGCCGAUGGAAGAAUGGGUUAAUAUUCCCAUACUGCCUCAUGGAGUGACGUGGAGACGGAGAAGUGACAGUCCUGCCGGCUGACGGAAUAGCCGGUUGAAGGGUGUAGAUAUUGAUUCCCGUAGGCAAAUCCGCGGGGAGAGUCGAACCUGAGAGUAUACGGAGCGCUUGCGCGACGUAAUAUGGACGUAACCAUGCUCCCGAGAAAAUCCGCUAAACUUAUCCAUGCGGCACCCGUACCGUAAACGGACACACGUGGUCGGGUUGAGAAUACUGAGGCGCUCGAGUGAUUCACGGUUAAGGAACUAGGCAAAUUGACCCUGUAACUUCGGGAUAAAGGGUCCUCGUCGUAAGGCGAGGCGCAGAGAAUAGGUCCAGGCAACUGUUUAACAAAAACACAUGGCUGUGCUAAAUGGAAACAUGAUGUAUACAGCCUGACACCUGCCCGGUGCCGGAAGGUUAAGAGGAGAUGUCAUCCGCGAGGAGAAGCGUUGAAUUGAAGCCCCGGUAAACGGCGGCCGUAACUAUAACGGUCCUAAGGUAGCGAAAUUCCUUGUCGGGUAAGUUCCGACCUGCACGAAUGGUGUAAUGAUCUGGACACUGUCUCAACCGUGAGCUCGGUGAAAUUGUAGUAUCGGUGAAGAUGCCGAUUACCCGCGAUGGGACGAAAAGACCCCGUGAACCUUUACUAUAGCUUUACAUUGAGUUUGGGCAGACGAUGUGUAGGAUAGGCCGGAGGCAUUGAAGCAGGUACGCCAGUAUUUGUGGAGCCGACGUUGAAAUACGGCCCUUCGGUUGUUUGAGUUCUAACUCCUAGUUAGGAGGACACUGUAUGGUGGGUAGUUUGACUGGGGUGGUCGCCUCCAAAAGCGUAACGGAGGCUUCUAAAGGUGCCCUCAGACCGAUUGGUAACCGGUCGCAGAGUGUAAUGGCAUAAGGGCGCUUGACUGGGAGACAUACAAGUCGAUCAGGUAGGAAACUAGAGCAUAGUGAUCCGGUGGUUCCGCAUGGAAGGGCCAUCGCUCAAAGGAUAAAAGGUACUCCGGGGAUAACAGGCUGAUCAUUCCCAAGAGCUCAUAUCGACGGAAUGGUUU